AGCAAUGAAAACAGUACAAUUUGCGGAAUAUAAAACCAACAUAGCCCGACGUCGGGGUGUCACCAGUCAUGACCAUAUAUCAUAACAACUACAAGUCUUAAACAGUCUACUCAACUAUUACAUAACCAAAAAAGAAGCAAAUGAGAUAGAUGGAGAAGCACUGGGCUGCGAUCGCCAAGCAGCUACCUAGUGAAUCUCCGAAGUCUGCUGGAAGCUCUCAACCCUCGCGAGCAGGACCUGAAGCACCGGAACUGCACAUGGGGUGCAGGGAGUAAAGUGAGUACUCCAACUCAGUGAGUAAUAAUAAUAAAUGCAGAAUGAGAAAUAAGAAAUCACGUAAAGGCACAUCAACAAGCUAUAAAGAAAACAGUAAAAGCCAGUAAAUAUAAUGAAACAGUGAAAAUGUGUAAAGUCACUUUAGUUUAGUUUAAGCUUCUUUAGAAUGCCUUUUUAACAGCUAAGCAAGUAAAUGACAGGUAACUAGAAAAGAUAAACACAUAAAUAACCGCCCCUCGGGCUCAAUAGUAACAGAAUCAGCCCCUCGGGCAACACAUGGAACAACACCAGCCCCUCGGGCUAUAUCUCAAAUCACAAUGGGUACCCGCACUCACUGGGGGUGUGCAGACUCUUGGAGGGGCCCCUUACGGCCCAAGCGCAAUAUCAAGCCAUCUCGUGGCAUAAUCACAUAGAUUCUCGGCCUCAUAUCAACAAGGCACCUCAUGACGUACAAUCUCAGGCCCUCGGCCUUAUAAUCAUAAUCAAUGUAUCCUUACAACCCAGGCCCUCGACCUUACUCAAUCAAAAUCUCAUAAGCAACUCGGACAACAGUAAAACAUGAUGUUCCGCCCAAAUUAUCAUUUAAUAUAUUAAAACAGAGUAGACAUGGCUGAGUUAUAAAAACAGUAGAUUAUAGCAUGACUGAGUACAAGUAUAAAGUCAAAACGGUGAGGAAAUAUCAGUAAAAGAUCUCUUAAGGGUCCAAAUAGUUGGCACGAGGCCCAAUUAUGGCAUUCAGCCCAAAACAUGAUGAUAGCAAAUAGUUUUCAAUCAAAUACACCGUAAAAUAGUCAUUUGGGAUGGACUAAGUCACAAUCCCCAGCGGUGCACGACCCCACGCUCGUCAUCUAGCGUGUACGUCACCUCAAUAUAGCAAAACGAUGUGCAAUCCGGGGUUUCAUACCCUCAGGAAAACAUUUACAAUCAUUACUCACGUCAAUCUGGUCCAAACUCUAUCCUGCGAUGCCUUUUCCCCUCGAAUCGGCAUCCACUCGCAUCGAAUCCAUCAAAUUCGAAUCGGCCUCGAAUCGGCAUUCAGCCCAAGGCGACACACUAGGUCGAAUCAAUCCCUUAUCAAGGAUUUCCAGAAGCUGCUCCUUUAACUCCUUCAACUUCGCCGGUGCCAUCCAAUACGGUGGAAUAGAAAUGGCCUGAGUGCCCGGCACCAAGUCAAUCCAAAAUUAAUAUCCCUGUCUGGUGGCAUGCCCGGCAGGUCUACAGGAAAUAUAUUAGGAAAAUCCCUCACAACUGGAACUGAAUCAAUACUGGGAGUCUCUGUACCGACAUCCCUCACAAAGGCUAGAUACGAAACACAACCCUUCCCAACCAUAUGCUGGGCUUUCAAGAAUGAGAUUACCCUACUGGAAACAUAAUCAGUUAAACCUCUGCACUCAAUCCAUGGCACACCCGGUAUAGCCAAUGUGAUUGUCUUGGCAUGACAGUCCAGAAUAGCACGACACGGUGAUAGCCAAUCCAUGCCCAAAAUAACAUCGAAAUCCACCAUACAUAAUAACAAAAGAUCCACUCGGGUCUCCAAACCCCUAAUAGUCACCACACACGACCGGUACACACGGUCUACAACAACGGUAUCGCUCACCAGAGUAGAUACAUGAACAGGUGAAACAAGAGACUCAUAGGGCGUACCCAAAUAACAAGCAAAGUAUGAUGACACAUAAGAAAAGGUAGAACCAGGAUCAAAUAAUACAGAAGCAUCUCUGUGGCAGACUGAGACAAUACCUGUAAUAACAACAUCAGAAGCAAUAUCAUCGGGUCUAGUUGGAAGUGCAUAGAAAUGGGCCUGAUCACCACCUGAUCGACCUCCCCCUCUAAAGCGACCCCUAGCUGACUAACCUCCACCCCUAGCUGGCUGGGUAGGUGGUGAUAAACUAGCUGGCGAUGAAGCCGAUGGCUAACUCCUCUACUGAGAUGAACCCGCAAGACGACGAGGACAAUGCCUCUAUAUAUGACCCAUCUCUCUAAACAGAUAGCAACUCCCAGGUGCUGGAGAUGGGGAUAGAAGGGAACCCCUAGCACCGGGAUGACUAGCAGAUGCACCUAGCAUAGAAGAGCCUUGAAUUGAUGGAGCACGGGAUGAACUCUUAGCUGGAAGAGCACUAAGUGAUGAUUGGCCCUGAUGAGAACUGUGAGAACCAUGACCCAAUGAUGCCCCACGAUAACCUGGGCGAGCUGGCUGAGCAUGCCUGAANNNNNNNNNNNNNNNNNNNNNNNNNNNNNNNNNNNNNNNNNNNNNNNNNNNNNNNNNNNNNNNNNNNNNNNNNNNNNNNNNNNNNNNNNNNNNNNNNNNNNNNNNNNNNNNNNNNNNNNNNNNNNNNNNNNNNNNNNNNNNNNNNNNNNNNNNNNNNNNNNNNNNNNNNNNNNNNNNNNNNNNNNNNNNNNNNNNNNNNNNNNNNNNNNNNNNNNNNNNNNNNNNNNNNNNNNNNNNNNNNNNNNNNNNNCUCGAGGCCUCUUGGCCUCCCUCUCCUCUCGCUCCCAGCGACGAACUGACUCAAUCUCACGAGCAAUGUCCACAACCUCCUCAAAAGUAGAACCAGUCACCCUCUCUCUGGUCAUGAGAAUACAAAGCUAAUAAGUUAGGCUAUCAACAAACCUCCUAAUCCUCUCUCUAUCUGUCGGAACCAACCAAAUCGCAUGGCGAGUUAACUUAGAGAACCUCAUCUCAUACUGCGUCACAAUCAUCUCUCCCUGAUGCAACCACUCGAACUGCCUGCGCAGCUCCUCUCUACGAGACUACGGCAUAUACUUCUCCAAAAAGAGAAUGGAGAACUGUUUCCAGGUAAGGGGUGCUGCACCAACAGGCCUACGCCUCUCAAAAGCCUCCCACCAAGUGAAGGCAGCUCCAUAAAACUGAUAAGUAGUGAAAGCAACCUCGUUGGUCUCCAGAAUACCCGUUGUACGAAGCAUCCUCUGACACUUAUCCAAGAAACCCUGGGCAUCCUCACCCUCUGCACCACUAAAAGUCGGAGGCUGAAGUCUGCCAAACCUCUCCAACCUACGCUGCUCGUCCUCUGGCAUCGCAGGAACUACAUAGUCCUAAGUAGUUGCAACUGUCUGGGUUGGUUGCGCCCCCGGUGUCUGAAGUCCCUGCAUGACCUGCUCAGGUGUGCGAGCGGCGGGAGUCUAAGUGCCUCCUCCAGCCUGAGAAGUAGCUGCGACUGUAGUAACUGAGACCGCCUGAGCUAGGCCAAUGCAUACUGACAUAAUUUAAGCCAAGGCCUCCUAAAGACCCGGAAUCACAAUGGGCACAACUGGUGCCUGAACUGGUGCUACUGGAGCAUCCACAGCUAGGACCUGAUCCUGAACUAGGGCGGCUGAUGGAUCUGCAAGUUCUGCCCUAGCUGUUGUGCGGGCCACACCCCUACCCCUACCGCGACCACGACCGCAUCCUCGGCCUCUAGUGGCCACAACUGGUGGUGCUAGUGGUCGUCCAUCCUGACCGGUAGGACGUGUCCUCACCAUCUGUGAGAGAAUAGAAUAAUAGAAGUUUAGUACUCGGAUCAACAGAUUCGCAUGACAAGAAUUUCAAGAAUAUGAAGCUUGUCCUAAAGGUUCUACAGCCUCUCAAGGAUAAAUACAGACGUCUCCGUACCGAUCCGCGAGACUUUACUAAACAUGAUCAUGACUCGUGACACCUAUGUAAUCUAGGCUCUGAUACUAACAUGUCACGACCAUAAACCCAGACUCGGUCAUGAUGGUGCCUCUCAUACAUACAAGGCCAGCCGACACAACACCCAAUUCCUUUUAGCAAUUGAAAAUACACAAAUUAAGUCUUUAACACGAUAAAAUCUCAAUUAAGCAGUGAAAACAAAACAAUUUGCGGAAUAUAAAACCAACAAAGCCCGACAUCGGGGUGUCACCAGUCAUGAGCAUCUAUCAUAAGAAAUACAAGUCUUUAAAGAGUCUACUCAACAAUUACAUAACCAAAACAGAAGAAAAUAAGAUAAAGGGAGAAGCACUAGGCUGCGAACGCCGAGCAGCUACCUAGUGAAUCUCCGAAGUCUACUAGAAGCUCUCAACCCUCGUGAGCAGGACCUGAAGCGCCUGAAUCUGCACAUGGGGUGCAGGGAGUAAAGUGAGUACUCCAACUCAAUGAGUAAUAAUAAUAAAUGCAGACUCGGAAAUCACGUAAAGGCACAUCAAUAGGAUAUAAAGAAAACAGUAAAAGCCAGUAAAAAUAAUGAAACAGUGAAAAUGUGUAAAGUCACUUUAGUUCAGUUUAAGCUUCUUUAGAAUGCCUUUUUAAUAUCUAAGCAAGUAAAUUAUAGGUAACUAGAAAAAAUAAACACAUAAAGAACCGCCCCUCAGGCUCAAUACCAACAAAAUCAGCCCAUCGGGCAACACAUGGAACAACACCAGCCCCUCGGGCUAUAUCUCAAAUCACAAUGGGUACCUGCGCUCACUGGGGGUGUGUAGACUCCUGGAGGGGCCCCUUACGGCCCAAGCGCAAUAUCACAUAGGCUCUCGGCCUCAUAUCAACAAGCCACCUUGUGGCGUACAAUCUCAGGCCCCUCGGCCUUAUAAUCAUAAGCAGUGUAUCCACACAACAUAGGCCCUCGGCCUUACUCAGUCAAAAUCUCAUAAGCCACUAGGGCAAUAGUAAAACAUGAUGCUCAGCCCAAAUUAUCAUUUAAAAUAUCAUUUAAUGUAUUAAAACAGAGUAUACAUGGAUGAGUUAUGAAAAUAGUAGAUUAUAGCAUGACUGAGUACAAGUAUAAAGUCAAAACGGUGAGGAAAUAUCAGUAAAAGAUCUCCUAAGGGUCCAAAUAGUUGGCACGAGGCCCAAUUAUGGCAUUCAGCCCAAAACAUGAUGAUAGCAAAUACUUUUAAAUCAAAUACUAGGUAAAACAGUCAUUUGGGACAGACAAGUCACAAUCCCAAAUGGUGCACGACCCCACGCUCGUCGUCUAGCGUGUACGUCACCUUAAUAUAGCACAACGAUGUGUAAUCCGGGUUUUCAUACCCUCAGGACAACAUUUACAAUCAUUACUCACCUCCAUCCGGUCCAAACUCUAGCCCGCGAUGCCUUUGCCCCUCGAAUCGGCGUCCACUCGCAUCGAAUCUAUCCAAAUCAUAAUCAUGACGUCAAAAUAUGCUAAAGCAACGAAGCUCAUGCGAAAAUAAACAAGUUAUAGCAUAAAUCCCAAAAUUAACCAAAACCCGACCCCCGGGACCAUGUCUUUGAAUAUGAUAAAAUUUACAUCAAUAGAUUCCGUAUCUCCCCACGAGUUCAUACAUAUCAAAAGUCUAAAAACCAACCGCAACUGGCCAUUCAAAUCCUCAAGUCUAGGUCUCCAAUACCAAGCCCUAGUUUCCCCAAUUUUAACCCUUAAAUUCCAUUAAUUACAGCUCUAAUCCGUGAAAUAAUACCACAUUAUCGAUUAUUAGACUUGAAAAUCUUACCUCCAGACGAUAUCCCUUGAUUCCCUCUUCAAAAUCUCCCAAAAAGCUCCAAAACCGACUUGAAAUGGUGACGAAUAACUCAAAAAUUGCGAAGGAUUACUUUUAUACCUUCUGGCCUAGGGAUUCUGCACCUGCGGCCAAUUUUUUGCUUCUGCGGUGCUGCUUUUGCUGUCCCAAGCACCGCAUCUGCGGUCCUCACUUAAGUCCUCCAAUUCCACAUCUGCGAUGUCCAAUCCGCACUUGCGCCAUCGUAGGUGCGGUUCCUUAACCGCUUCUGCAAUUCCUGCCUCCCUUGCUUUCUUCCGCAUCUGCGACUCCCAAACUCACUUAUGCGAGACCUCACCUGCGGUCCCCUUGCCGCAGGUGCGGUUAUGAUAGCAAAUGGCACAUCUUCAGCUGCCAAAACCAAUUUCCAAACUUUCCGCGAACCAUCCGAAAUCACCCCGAGGCCCCCAGGACCUCAACCAAAAGCACAAAUACACCAUAUACCACCAUCCAAACUUAUAACAAUCUUCAAAACACCUCAAACAACCUCGAAUAAACCAAAACACAUCGGAUUCAAGCCUAAGUUUCCAAAAUCUUCUGAAUUACACUUUUGAUCAAAAAGUAUAAUAAACCAUGUUCAAAUGGCCUGAAAUUUUGCACACAUAUCCCAAAUGACACAACGGUCUUACUACAACUCUCGAAAUUCUAUUCCAAGCCCUAUAUGAAAAUCUCACCUAUCAACCGGAAAAUGCCAAAAUACCAAUUUCGCCAAUUCAAGCCUAAAUCUACUAUGUACCUCCAAAACACAUUCCGAUCACGCUCCUAAGGCUCAAAUCACCUCCCGAAGCUAUCUGAACCAUCAGAACUCACAUCUGAGCCCUCUAACACAUAAGUCAACAUCCGGUUAACUUUUCCAACUUAAGCUUCCUCAAAAGAGACUACGUGUCUCCAAAGAAAUACCGAUAAACAAAGAAAUAAGAAGCAGAAAUACGGGAAACGGAGAGGUAACUCAUGAGACGACUGGUCGGGUCGUUACAAUAUUCCUUAUAGAUUUCGAGAUAUAAGCUUCCAACGUAGGCUCCUCACAUCAAAAAUUUCUGGAAAAAUUACAAAACAACUUUACUAGUCUUUAUUCAAUCGAUCAUAACUUUCUGUACAAAUGAUCAAAUGAUGAAUGGUUUAGCUUUCUGGAAACUAGAAUCAAAGCACUACAACUUUCAUGUUUUGCAAAUUUUCAGAUUCCUUAGAGAUUUCGAGAUAUAAGCUUCCAAAAUAGACUCCAUGAUUGCACAGUUGUUGUCCAAAGACAGCUGCUGCUGCUGAAAAUUCCAGCAGCCUCUUUUGCUCGAAAUCUAUUUCGUUAACCUUCUGAAAUCCACCCGAGACACUAGGAACCUUAACCAAUUAUACCAACAUGUCCAAAAGUACAAUACAAACUUAAUGGAGGCUUCAAACCACGUCAAACAAUGCCGAAAUUAUGAAUCGUGCGCAAAUCUUCCAACUUCUACAUUUUGCGCAGAAACAUAUCAAAUCAAUCCGGAAUGACUUCAAAUAUUGCACAUAAGUCAUAAAUGACAUAAUGGAUCUUUUUCAAUUUUUUGAAUCGGACUCCGACCCCGAUAUCAAAAGUCAACUCUCGGUCAAACUUUCCAAAAAUCUUCUAAACUUUUGCCAAAAUGCGCCGAAUCAUCCUACGGAUUUCCAAAUCCAAAUCCGAGCAUGUGCCUAAGUCUGAAAUUACCAUACGAAGCUAUUGGAGUCAUCAAAAUUUUAUUUCAGAGUCGUUUUCUCAAAAGUCAAAUCUCUGGUCAAACUUAAGAAAUCUUUAGCAUUAGAUCUCUAGAUUUAGUUAAAUGGCAAUAAUCUGAGUCGGGGACCUCCGAAUUCAAUUCCGGGCAUACGUCCAAGUCCCAAAUCACAAUACGGACCUAAGGGAACUAUCAAAACACUAAUCCAAGUCUAUUUGCUCAAAAUGUUGACCGAAGUCAACUCGGUUGAGUUUUAAAGCUCAAUUCACAUUUUAAUCCAUUUUUCACAUAAACACAUUCCGGAAAAUUAUACGGAUUGCGCAUGCAAGUCGAGGAAUGAUUAAUAACGCUUUUCAAGGUCUUAAAAUAGUGAGAUGAUUAUUUAAUUUGAAGAUGACAUUUUGGGUCAUCACAUUCUCCACCUCUAAAAUAAAUGUGCGUCCUCGAACGUACUAAGAAUUAUUCUGAAGUUACCAAAUUGAUUAAUUUACUUUUAUACAUAUACUCACGGUUGACCCCAUGUUACCGCAUUCGACAUAAGUCCGACAACACCAUUUCAAUUGAGAUUAUUUCCUUUAUCCAUAUUUGUAAACUUUAAGACCAAAUUUCGUACACUCCGAAUAUUUUCAAAAAGGUCAGAUUUUCAAAUCAACACAAGAUAUGAGUCUUGACUGGCAAUAACAACCCGUGCCUACGCACACAUCAACUUUUUAAUAGUGCUUAACUACUUCAAAAAAAUUUUGGGGUGUUACAUUCUACCCCACUUAGGGUCAUUCGUACUCAAGUGAGAAGUAGAGUCCAUCCUUAAAUACAUAAUGUAGUUUAUCUCUUUCUUCGCAUAUCUUGAUGUCCCAAUUUUUUUUAAACAAUUUCGGCAGUGCCUCCCUUGUAAUUGGGCAUAUCCACCUAUCAGAGUAACACCAAAACAACUCCUAACAACAUAUUCACAACCCAACAAAGCACCACAAUGUAUAUAUCAAUAACACUAAUCUCUGCAUUACAAGCACGGCAUUAUCAUAGUGAUAUCUUGACAUGAAACACAUCAUAUGUAUGACCAUAACCACAUCUCGGGUUUUAAUAGUUGUUCAUAAUAGAUUACAACAUCGCCAAUUAACCUCAUGUUAAAAAAAAUCUCAUUUCAAAUCUCCACUUUACUAACAACGAGACAUGAAAACCUAAUAAUUACCUACCCAAAAUAACGAGUCACAAUUUAACGUCACCUGGGCACUCACCUUGUAGGCUAAAACUCAAUAAUUACAAUACAAAUUUGGCAAAUUAUGCACAGAGAUAUUCAUACAAGAAUUUUCAAAUGAGCCUAAUAGGCAUGACUCCUUAUAAAUACUAUAGUACAAAUUUUAAUUUCACAAAGGGAGCAUUUAAACACAUAAUUUUUUUCCACCAUAAGGACCUCGUCCUUAUAUAACAUCCUCCGUAGCUUGUGGCCCGGUUUAAAUAUUUCACAUUAUAUAAAAAUACGAGGAUAUCAUCCUCAACUCUGUUUCACAAGUAAUAUGCACAUCGUGCCAAAUCGGAACAUUCCAUUGUCUUCUUUUAAAUAAUUUUCGUUAAACAAAAUCACAACAUAUAAUGAACCCUCAUAUCGGUAGGGCAUAUAAUUCACAAUUGAAAUUAAUUAUCUGAAAAUUACAUCAACGUACCGAAAUAAUUAACAAAAGUUAUUCUUAGCCUCACAACUAUUUUUAGUGACCAACACAUAAUGAUAGGCAUACCUAUCUCCAUAUAAUCUCACAAUAGGAGUGUUCUCAUAAGUAGAUUUCAGGGGUACGAAGCUCACUCAUGAGUGGAGCAUAUUAGAAGGAUUUUCCUCGAUACUCAUAACCUAACCAAGUUAAGAAAAUUGUCACUUUAUAAUAAUCUGAGAUCGUACUUGUAGCGAUACCGUCUGGUAUAGCAACCUCAGCCAUGCCAUAGAAAAUAUAUCAACGGACUGGGUCUCCACUUGUAGGAUUCUCACCUCCACCUCUAACAUCCUGACCUCUACCUCUGGCUGGUCAUGUAAUUGGAGUAGUAACUACAAUAAGGCACGUAGCCUGAGUGCUUUGAUAAAAUAUGUCUCUCCCAAGUCUAGGACAAUUUUCUCAUGAUGUUCCUAGUACCACCACAUUCAUAUCAAUCCCUUUGAGGGUUCAAUGGCUUAUACUGAGUCUGUACUAGAUAACUGGAAUAACCAUUGUACGGCCCUCGUGUCAGUAGUACAUUAAAAGAACUUACUGGAGCACCCCGAGUUGUACAAAAUUUCAAGAUCAUAAUUGAGUUCUUUAAUGAGUUCGUUGACUCUCUCUCUCUUUUUGGAUGUAGGAACCAAAGUAGGAGUAUGAUGGCUAACCUAUUGAACCUGAUGACAUGUUCUGACACUGUCAUAGUAACCUGAUGCAACCAUUCAAACCCUGUGUGCCACACAUUACAGAGAAUCGUGGAAAUAAACUCUUUCAAAAGCAUUUCUGAGAAUUGAGAUGAGUAGGUGGUGUUGCAUUCGCUGGUCUGCCCUCUUCAUAGGCUUGCCACAAACACCGGCUGCUAAUUUCCUCUUUUCCUAUGCGGGCUUAACACUGUUGAGCUACCCCAUUUAUGCAUAUACUCUUCGUUAUUCUUUGGGAUAAUUCUUACCCCUAUUUAUGCACAACGAUCACAAAGGUAAAUCUCUAUACAGAUAAAUCUUGGCACAAACCACAUAGUCCAGAAGGUCGUCUACCACUAUACUUCCUCCGAAGCACCCCAAAAUCUGCAACCGUGACUUCCAUGCUGAGUAGACCUUCUAUAAAUUUAAAGUUGAUUCUCUAACUCUUUUGGUACUGAAGUAAUUGAUUAUUAAGGAGGCAGACGUACCGUAAGUCCCAAUCCUAUCCCUUGCAAAAUAUAAGGCAUUAAAUAUGUGUGUAUUAUUGGGGAGCCUGUUACAUCUCACAUUUUCGUAUGUUAAAAUUUCAUUUUUAGUUAACCAAUGUGGACCCGAGGACAAGAUCAUCUUGACGUUAACGUAUUUACGCUAUUUGUAACUAGCAAUAAAUAAGUAUUAUGAAGGAUAAAGGGGUACACGAAUUAAAAAAACGAGUUUUCGUCGAAAGUGGCCAAUUUGGAAUAAAAUAUGGGUCGAGCAAUAAUACCCAAUAAUUAUGAACUAGUAUCAUGCAAGGUACCAUAUGACCACUAUAGUAUAAUGUGUAAAGUAUAUAUAUAUAUAGUAUAUUAAAAAUAAAUUAAAUUUUAAGUAAUUUGGAGCAAUUUUUAAAUUAUGUGGGUAAUUGGUUAAUUAUCGGGUAACGGGACAUUACCCGAUUAACUAAUAAGUGGCUAAGAACUUAAUAAUUACCACCCCACACACACACAAAUACGUGGAAAGAAGCCACCAAGUCAAGAAGUAACUAAGUAGUCACUUAUGCCUAGGUGGCAACUUGAGCAUAAAUAAGAUGGCUGACUAACCAAGUCAUCUGCUAAAAUCCAAUGUGAAUCAAAAGUGAACCCAAAAAAUGUUAGUCUUUCCAAACUUUAAAGAAACAAAAACGUUAUUCAACUCAAGUUCUCAAGGAACCAAAAAAUGUUUCCUCUCAGUUUCAAGGAAACCAAAAUUGUUAUUUCGUUCCAAAAUUUUAGGAGCCAGAAACAAUUUUCGCCCAUGAAUUUCUAAGAAGUAGAGGAUAAUUUCGUUCAAUCAACGAAGGUUUUCCAACGAAAUAAUAUACGGAGUUUUCUCUACUCCAGGUAUAUUAAGGCCCUCUCUUCUUUCUUUUAGCAUGGUCCAAAUUAUACUAAAGAAACGAGCAAACACACAGUUUUCAUAAAUUACUGUAACGACCCGGCCGAUCAUUUUAAGAAUUUGUGCCCUGAUUCCCUAUUAACUGAUUUCCCUGUGUUUUUCUGCUAUUGUGAGUUGCCGGGAUGGUUUAUUUUGAGUUUCGAAGAGUUUUGGGACAUUUAGUCCAUAAAUGAGAGCUUAAGUUUUGGAAAUUUGACCGUAGUCGGAACAGUAUGAAGAUGGCCUCGAAAUGAAAUUCUGAUGGUUCUGUUAGCUCUGUUGGGUGAUUUCGGGUAUAGGAGCAUGUUCGGAUUGUGUUUUGGAGUUCCAUGGCUAAUUUAGGCUUGAAAUGCCGAAAGUUGAAUUUUUGAAAUUUUUGGUUCGAUAGUAAGAUUUUGAUCCGAGGGUCGGAAUGAAAUUCUGAAAGUUGGAGUAGCUCUUUAGUGUUGAAUGUGACGUGUGUGCAAAAUUUCAGGUCAUUAGAACGAGGUUUGAUGGACUUUUUGAUUGAAAGCGUAAUUUGAGAGUUUUUAAAAUUCUUAGGCUUUAAUCCGAUGAAAAAUUGGUGUUUUGAUGUUGCUUUGAGCAUUUCGAAGAAUGGAAAAAGUUUGAAUGAUGUUUCAAGAUUAGUUGGGUUUGGUUGAGGUCUCGGGGGCCUCGGGUGUAUUUCGGAUGCUCAACGGGUCAUUUUGGAACUUGUUGGAAUUCCUGAACUGCUGGUAUUUGGUUUUCUUAUAUGCGAUUGCAAUAAUGGGGCGGCGAUCGCAUAGGUUUGUUGGUGAGGUGGCAGAAUUGGUGCUAUGCGAUCGCCAGGAUUGGUUCGCGACCACGAAGUGAGAGGAUCCAAAGCAGUAUGGUCGCUUGAUGUUGUAUGCGAACGCAUAGUGUGGGCGUAUGUGGCAGGGUUUUAAAAGCCCAAUCCGCGACCCUUCUUCAUUUUCCACCAUUUUUGAAUGGGAUUGAAGCUUUUGAGGGAGAUUUUUGAGGAAACCAAAGAGGAAUUACUUGGAGGUAACAUUUUUGACUUCAUAUCUCAUUUAUAUGUGAUUAAAGUUCUAAUUAGUGGUGAAAAAUUAGGGAAAAAUCAGUGCAAAAUGGGUAACUAGGGCUUAAGAUUAAGAGACCUUAAAAUGGGUAUUUGAGGGGUCAAUUUAACUCUGAUUUCAGUGUUCUUGUUAUGUAUAGACUCAUGAGAGUAUGAGGAUUCUUAAAAUUUAAAUUUUACCCGAUUCCGAGAUGUGGGCCUGGGGCAUUUUGGUCAUUUUACCUAAUUUUGCGUAUUAUCUUAGAAUUUAUUUGUAGAAUUAGUUACUUAAAGUGUUAUUUACAUUAUGCAAUUGAAUUGAAUAGAUUUGGGCCAUUUGGAGUCGAGUACUCGUGGCAAGAACGUAGUUUCUGAUUGACUUUGAUCCGGUUCGAGGUAAGUGACUUGCCUAACCUUGUGUGGGGGACAUUCCCCUUAGGAUUUGGUAUUAUUGAUAAUGGAAAUGCCUUGUACGUGAGGUGACAAGUGCGUACUUGUGCUAAUUAUUGAAAAUCCGGUUUCCAUUAAGUAUUUACUAGUAUGUUUCUUUUCAUGUGUUAUACUACUUGCAAUUUAAGCCUGUUGUUAGCUUAGGAAAGCAUGUCUAAUUGACUUAAUUGCCUUACUUGCUCAAACUGCCUUAUUUGGAUUACGUGCAGCAUGCUAGGUUAGAAAUACCUGUUUUACCUUGGUAUGGAACUUGAAUUGAAAUGUGUACUCUUCUUGUUGUUGAUGUGUGUUUACUUUGGGACUACGGGACAGUAUCCCGGGAGAUCCCCCUGUAUGUUUACUUUGGGAUUACGAAACGGUAUUCUGGGAGAUCCCCCUGCACAUUUACAUUGGAACUACAGGGUUGCACCCGGUAGAUUCCCCCUGUACUGAGUAUUUACAUUUGGGACUACGAAUCGGUAUUCCGGGAGAUGCCCUCGUAUUAUGAGUUGGACUACGGGACGGUAUCCCGGGAGAUCCACUGGAUAUUUAUAUUUGGGACUAUAGGACGGUAUCCUGGGAGAUGCCCGGUUGUUAUAUUUGUGUUGAGUUAUAUUUCUUUCCGUGUUUACUUUGCCUCUGUAGUAAUUGUUGUUAUCCUUUAUAUCCUGUGUUACUUUUACUGUUGUACUUAUUUAUACUAUUUUAUUCUACAUUGUUGAACUUUAUAUUUUAUUUAACCUCGGUAGGGCCCUGACCUUCCUUGUUACUACCCGACCGAGGUUAGGCUUGGCACUUACUGAGUACCGUUGUGGUGUACUCAUGACCUUUCUGCGCAUGUUUUUCCUGUGCAGAUCCAAGUACUUCCACUCAGACUUAUCACGCUUGAGACGAUACGCUUGUAGAGACUCCGAGGUAUAUCUGCUGUGUCCGCAGACCGAAGAGUCCCUUUCUACUCUCUCUUUUUGUAUUAGCCCUUCUGUACUUUUGUUUCUUUGUUAGACAUUCUGGAGUUAGAUGCUUGUAGACAUUCAAAGGCUUGUGAUCAUGAGAUUCUGGGUUUUGGGAAAUGUUAUUAGCUUCGAGAGUUGUUAUUGUGUAUGUUGAGCGGCAUUUUAAAUACUAUUUUAUUUUACUAUUUCGAUUUUUAUAAUUGUUCUUCUGCAAUUAUUUUUUAUAUUCUGUAUUUUUAGGCUUACCUAGUCGUAGAGAAUAUGUGCCAUCAUCAUGGUUCAUACGGGGCGAACCGGUAUCGUGACAAGUUGGUAUCAGAGCUAUAGGUUCAUAGGAGUCAUGAAUCACAAGCCGGUUUAUUAGAGUCUCGCUGAUCGGUACGGAGACGUCUGUACUUAUCUGCGAGAGGCUAUGUAACUGUUAGGAAAAUUCCACUUUAUUUGAUUUCCUUGUCGUGCGAGAUUUUGAUGUCGCAAUUCUAAACUUAUGUCUUCUAUUCUCUCACAGAUGGUGAGAACACGUGCUACCCGAGAUGAUCAGGCACCCGCGCCCCUUACUGCAGCCGUCAGAGGCCGAGGUCGGGGUAGAGGCCGAGGACGUGCAUGUGGUGCAGCUAGAGCACCCGUACGAGCUGCCAGCGAGGUACCACCAGCAGUUCUAGCUGAAGUCCAGGCACCUGAUAUGCCUACUGUUACUAUUACUCCAGCUCUUCAGGCGACUCUUGCGCAGUUCAUGAGCAUGUACGCCACUUUGACUUAGGCAGGGUUGCUUCCCCUUGAUGCAGCCACAUCUUAGGCCGAGGAAGGAGCACAGACUCCUGCCGCCCACACUCCUAAGCAGCGAGUGCAUAUUGAUUAGGUCCUAGGGAUUAUUCCUGUAUAGCCUCUACUCCCAAGUCUGCCUGAGGAUAGGGAAGCGACUUCAGAGGAUGAGCAGCGGAGACUUGAGAGGUUCAAGAAGUAUGAUCCUCUUGUAUUCAGUGGGUUAGCAUCAGAUGAUGCCUUGGGAUUUCUAGAGGAGUGUCAUCGUAUCCUCCACACUAUGGGUAUAUCAGGAUCGAGUGGGGUUUCUUUCACUACCUUUCAGCUUCGAGAAGUUGCCUAUGAGUAGUGGCGCACCUAUGAAUUAGACAGUCCGGAUGAAGCAGCUUCACUAACUUGGACUCAGUUUUCAGAUAUGUUCCUGAGAGAGCUUAUUCCUCAGAGCCUCAGGGACGCAUGUCGUGUAGAGUUUGAAUAUUUGCUCCAGGGUACUAUGACUGUCUCGGAGUAUGCUGUCCCUUACACUAGAUUGGCUAGACAUGCCCCAGCCUUGGUUUCUACUGUUCGCAAGAGGGUUCGUNNNNNNNNNNNNNNNNNNNNNNNNNNNNNNNNNNNNNNNNNNNNNNNNNNNNNNNNNNNNNNNNNNNNNNNNNNNNNNNNNNNNNNNNNNNNNNNNNNNNNNNNNNNNNNNNNNNNNNNNNNNNNNNNNNNNNNNNNNNNNNNNNNNNNNNNNNNNNNNNNNNNNNNNNNNNNNNNNNNNNNNNNNNNNNNNNNNNNNNNNNNNNNNNNNNNNNNNNNNNNNNNNNNNNNNNNNNNNNNNNNNNNNNNNNNNNNNNNNNNNNNNNNNNNNNNNNNNNNNNNNNNNNNNNNNNNNNNNNNNNNNNNNNNNNNNNNNNNNNNNNNNNNNNNNNNNNNNNNNNNNNNNNNNNNNNNNNNNNNNNNNNNNNNNNNNNNNNNNNNNNNNNNNNNNNNNNNNNNNNNNNNNNNNNNNNNNNNNNNNNNNNNNNNNNNNNNNNNNNNNNNNNNNNNNNNNNNNNNNNNNNNNNNNNNNNNNNNNNNNNNNNNNNNNNNNNNNNNNNNNNNNNNNNNNNNNNNNNNNNNNNNNNNNNNNNNNNNNNNNNNNNNNNNNNNCCUGAUGUGUUUCCAGCUGAUCUUCCGGGCAUGCCUCCCGAUAGAGAUAUCAAUUUUGGCAUUGAUCUGUUGCUGGGUACUCAGCCCAUUUCUGUUCCUCCGUAUCGUAUGGCUCCUUCUGAGUUGAAGAAGUUGAAGGAUCAGUUACAGGAAUUGUUUGAUAAGGGUUUUAUUAGGCCAGUGUAUCACCUUGGGGUGCUUCUAUCUUGUUUGUGAAGAAAAGGGAUGGUUCUAUGCGUAAGUGUAUUGAUUAUCGCCAGUUGAACAAAGUUACAGCGAAGAACUGUUAUCCUUUGCCUCGUAUUGAUGAUUUGUUUGACUAGCUUCAGGGCGCAUGGGUGUUUUCUAAGAUUGACUUGCGCUCAGGUUACCAUCAUUUGAAGAUUCGGGAGCCAGAUAUCCCAAAGACUGCUUUCAGGACUCGAUAUGGUCAUUACGAGUUCCUUGUUAUAUCAUUUGGGCUGACCAAUGCCCUAGCAGCCUUUAUGCAUUUGAUGCACAGUGUGUUCCGGCCGUAUCUUGACUCGUUCGUCAUUGUCUUUAUUAAUGAUAUUAUGGUAUAUUCCCGGAGUCGGGAAGAUCAUGAGCAGCACCUGAGGACAGCACUCCAGACUCUAAGGGAAAAAAAGUUAUAUGCUAAGUUCUCGAAAUGUGAGUUUUGGUUGGAUUCCGUGGCAUUCUUAGGUCACGUGAUAUUCUGAUGUUACACCUAACAAGAAGUACCAUAGUAAAACUUCUCAAUGCCGAUGUAAAGAGAACGGGGAGCAUAAAAUAGAGGCGGUCACAGGAUUAGAAGGUGGCAAGGGCGCAUAAGCGGAUUGCUCGAUCAAUGCUCCCAUCAGAUGUCUUAAGAGUUUCUAAUAAAAUAUAUGACGGUCUUCAACGCGCGCGCACACACAUAUAUAUAUAUAUCCAAAAUACUUGUCGAGGUUAACGGGACAGGUGACCCCUCUCCUCAACACAUAGGACCACCUCUGGCAGAACACUCAUAAUAAAUAGAAGUAGUAUAUUAAAAUGAGCAAAAUCGUCAGAAAGGGGCAGAGACAAAGGGGUGCUUCGUCAGAAAAGAAGGUAUGCAUAGGCAUUCAUAAAAGACAGUAUUUUAAGGGUUUGAACAAAUUUCAGGCGUAUCAUGUGGUUUGGGCGAGGAAAAGACAGAGAAACCAACAAAACAAAUUGAAAUAGUCAGAAAAUAGUGAAUCAGGAGAUACAAUCCACUAGACAAGAGAGAAGGGAAGCCAUAAUAAUAAUAAUAAUAAUAAUAAUAAUAAUAAUAAUAAUAAUAAUAAUAAAUUCCAGGUGAUUAUGUCAUGAAGGGAGGUUUGGAGCAACGGUUAAACAGUCUCCAUGUGAUCUACAGGUCACGGGUUCGAGCAGCGGAAUCAGCCCUAUCUCCAUGUGAUCUACAAGUCAAGGGUUCGAGCCGCGGAAUCAGGCAUUGAUACUUGUAUCAGGGUAAGUUACCUAUGUUACCUCCUUGGAGUGCAACCCCUACCCAGCGUGACCGUGGGAGCACCUGACUACCAUUUGCCAGGUGAUUAUGUCAUCUUAGCAAUUUUAAGUAGCUGAAAAUAUUUUUUCGCCGAAUCCUACUAUGCCCACAAAAAAUGAAGUUGAUGUUUAUUUUGUUUGUCCUGUUUGCAGUCGCUGGCUUGAGGUUAAAUUGACCAAAAGAAAAAAAAACUAUUACCUAGAAGAUACCUAUUAACCGCCUCUAAGCAGAAUACAUUUGCAAAACAGGAAGCAAGCGACAUGUAAGAAUAAAAAAAUAUGAGCCAAGCAAAGGCAACCAACAUAUCCCUACACAAAAAUAAAUAAAUACUGAACUUGAACUUGAUAGCCAAGAUCCCAUGAUAUGGGAUAAUACUAGGUAUGUUAUUAUUGAACUUGAUGGUGGAGAGACAGAUAAUUUAGAAACUGAUAAAAGAACAAAUAAUGGAAUUGGGUAUGUAACAGCUAUAUAUAGGGGCAAAGCUUACACGAUGAGAGACGAGAAUAACACGGGAGUGGCGUUUCAUCAAAUACUGAAUGGCUGGAAGAGCGUCUA
This 17527-nucleotide long non-coding RNA is filed under the name Nicotiana tabacum (common tobacco). RNAcentral describes it as "long non-coding RNA (NTAB_LNC011289)". Lineage: Eukaryota; Viridiplantae; Streptophyta; Magnoliopsida; Solanales; Solanaceae. The record is from RNAcentral.